Leporid alphaherpesvirus 4 is the source of this 72-nucleotide microRNA precursor. It matches the Rfam family "mir-H11 microRNA precursor family". The record is from Rfam. Lineage: Duplodnaviria; Heunggongvirae; Peploviricota; Herviviricetes; Herpesvirales; Orthoherpesviridae.
GAACGCGGAAGCGUUCGCACUUCGUCCUAAUAAUAUAUACUAUUAGGACGAAGUGCGAACGCUUCCGCGUUC